This 65-nucleotide transfer RNA is filed under the name Onomarchus uninotatus. RNAcentral's name for it is "tRNA-Phe". It matches the Rfam family "tRNA". From Rfam's summary of the family: Transfer RNA (tRNA) molecules are approximately 80 nucleotides in length. Their secondary structure includes four short double-helical elements and three loops (D, anti-codon, and T loops). The record is from RNAcentral. Lineage: Eukaryota; Metazoa; Arthropoda; Insecta; Orthoptera; Tettigoniidae.
AUCUAAAUAGCUUAAAUUAGAGUGUAACGCUGAAGAUGUUAAGGUGGUUUAUAUACCUUUAGAUA